The sequence is a regulatory RNA element, 107 nucleotides long. It matches the Rfam family "TPP riboswitch aptamer (THI element)". Rfam says of the family: Vitamin B(1) in its active form thiamin pyrophosphate (TPP) is an essential coenzyme that is synthesised by coupling of pyrimidine and thiazole moieties in bacteria. The previously detected thiamin-regulatory element, thi box was extended, resulting in a new, highly conserved RNA secondary structure, the THI element, which is widely distributed in eubacteria and also occurs in some archaea. The record is from Rfam.
GAAGACCGCAAGGGGUGUCGCGUCAAGCGGCUGAGAGAAGUGAUUGGACUUUAACCCUUCGAACCUGUUCCGUUCAGACGGACGUAGGGAUGUGGCGCACGCAGGCA